AUUGAACGCUGGCGGCAUGCCUUACACAUGCAAGUCGAACGGUAACGCGGGGCAACCUGGCGACGAGUGGCGAACGGGUGAGUAACGCAUCGGAACGUGCCCAGUAGUGGGGGAUAGCCCGGCGAAAGCCGGAUUAAUACCGCAUACGACCUACGGGUGAAAGGGGGGGAUCGCAAGACCUCUCGCUAUUGGAGCGGCCGAUGUCAGAUUAGGUAGUUGGUGGGGUAAAGGCCUACCAAGCCGACGAUCUGUAGCUGGUCUGAGAGGACGACCAGCCACACUGGGACGGAGACACGGCCCAGACUCCUACGGGAGGCAGCAGUGGGGAAUUUUGGACAAUGGGCGAAAGCCUGAUCCAGCCAUGCCGCGUGCGGGAAGAAGGCCUUCGGGUUGUAAACCGCUUUUGUCAGGGAAGAAAUCUUCUGAGCUAAUACCUCGGGAGGAUGACGGUACCUGAAGAAUAAGCACCGGCUAACUACGUGCCAGCCGCCGCCGUAA
Molecule: ribosomal RNA, 498 nt
Filed under: uncultured bacterium
Lineage: Bacteria
Description: partial 16S ribosomal RNA
Rfam family: Bacterial small subunit ribosomal RNA
Source: RNAcentral